UAGAGAUUUCAGACCAGUGGGAAAUGCUAGGAGUCAAAUAGGCGCAAAUUAUAAGCACGCAGGGGGCGCCACAGCGCUAAUAAGUAGCAGUAAAGUUGGGGAUGGUUCCAUUCAUGGAUCCGUUGAGUAUCAGUGCCACUGGUUUAUACUCCACAAGUUGCGGGCGAAGGAAUGAAAGCACAAGGUCAGAUAGGUAUUGUGGGCGAAUUUAACCUUUAAUUAUAGUUUUUUAAUCGUGACACUUAAUUUAUUGUUAAUAUAACACAAAUGAUAUCUACAGCUACACAUAUAACUAAAUAAUAAACUGUACAAUAUUUAGUAAUAGGUACCUACAUUUAGUUUGGAAAGCACAAGAAAGAUGGAGGAAUAAUUGAAAUUACUCUUCUGUCACAAUCCCCAGCUUUUGUUCUGAUUGUCGUGUCUACGUCAAGUAUUUUAUGAAGUAUUAUUAUAUUUUUACUGUUGGUUACAAUAUUGAUCGUAUUAUUCAGCUUUGUCCUUUUUUUUUACAGCAAUGUUGAAUUUGUAUAGACAGUAUACAGACAGACAGACAGAUAUGCAGACACAAUCGACUCCUUGCAGUUCUUAAUAAGCGCCCCGACGUAAUGUCUUUUAGACAAAACAUUGGUGUGAAAAAUUGUGGUAAAAAAAUAGUACAAAAUUAUCAAAAAAUAAUAGCAGCAUCAGAAAGUGAAUCUUGCGUUGUAGGUACUCUAACUUCAUGGAGCUUUUCGAGUAUACUAACUGUAACUGCAAAAAUAGUAUAAACUGAAGACAUUUAGUUAAUAAUCAAACAUUAAAUAUAUUGUUAUUAUGCUUUACUAACAAAAAAUCAGCUACUAAGGUACAAUAAAUAAAAAAUAAAUAUAAUUUGUA
Molecule: long non-coding RNA, 876 nt
Organism: Photinus pyralis (common eastern firefly)
Lineage: Eukaryota; Metazoa; Arthropoda; Insecta; Coleoptera; Lampyridae
Exons: 2
Source: RefSeq, a predicted model, not a curated record